GAUGAACGCUGGCGGCGUGCUUAACACAUGCAAGUCGAACGGAAAGGCUCCUGCUUGCAGGGGUACUCGAGUGGCGAACGGGUGAGUAACACGUGGGUGAUCUGCCCUGCACUUCGGGAUAAGCCUGGGAAACUGGGUCUAAUACCGGAUAGGACGAUGGUUUGGAUGCCAUUGUGGAAAGUUUUUCGGUGUGGGAUGAGCUCGCGGCCUAUCAGCUUGUUGGUGGGUUAAUGGCCUACCAAGGCGUCGACGGGUAGCCGGCCUGAGAGGGUGUACGGCCACAUUGGGACUGAGAUACGGCCCAGACUCCUACGGGAGGCAGCAGUGGGGAAUAUUGCCCAAUGGGCGCAAGCCUGAUGCAGCGACGCCGCGUGGGGGAUGACGGCCUUCGGGUUGUAAACUCCUUUCGCUAGGGACGAAGCGCAAGUGACGGUACCUGGAGAAGAAGCACCGGCUAACUACGUG
RNAcentral lists this ribosomal RNA (465 nucleotides) under uncultured bacterium. RNAcentral describes it as "partial 16S ribosomal RNA". It matches the Rfam family "Bacterial small subunit ribosomal RNA", at positions 28 to 507 of the family's 1533-position model. The record is from RNAcentral.